GUGUUCUCUCCAGCAGCACAUAUACUAAAAUUGUAAUGAUACAGAGACGAUUAGCAUAGCCCCUGCCCAAGGAUGACAUGCAAAUUCUACUGGUCUAGUGGGGUGAG
Small nuclear RNA from Ictidomys tridecemlineatus (thirteen-lined ground squirrel), 107 nucleotides. The record is from Ensembl. Lineage: Eukaryota; Metazoa; Chordata; Mammalia; Rodentia; Sciuridae.